AGUGAACGCUGGCGGUAGGCCUAACACAUGCAAGUCGAACGGCAGCACAGUAAGAGCUUGCUCGUACGGGUGGCGAGUGGCGGACGGGUGAGGGAUACAUCGGAAUCUACUUUUUCGUGGGGGAUAACGUAGGGAAACUUACGCUAAUACCGCAUACGACCUACGGGUGAAAGCAGGGGAUCUUCGGACCUUGCGCGAUUGAAUGAGCCGAUGUCGGAUUAGCUAGGUGGCGGGGUAAAGGCACACCAAGGCGACGAUCCGUAGCUGGUCUGAGAGGAUGAUCCGCCACACUGGAAGUGAGACACGGUAGAGACUCCUACGGGAGGAAGCAGUGGGGAAUCUUGGACAAUGGGGGAAAGCCUGAUCCAGCCAUACCGCGUGGGUGAAGAAGGCCUUCGGGUUGGAAAGCCCUUUUGUUGGGAAAGAAAAGCAGCAGGUUAAUACCCCGCUGUUAUGACGGUACCCAAAGAAUAAGCCCCGGCUAACUUCGUG
This 492-nucleotide ribosomal RNA is filed under the name uncultured bacterium. RNAcentral's name for it is "partial 16S ribosomal RNA". It matches the Rfam family "Bacterial small subunit ribosomal RNA", at positions 29 to 507 of the family's 1533-position model. The record is from RNAcentral.